This 74-nucleotide transfer RNA is filed under the name Mycobacterium botniense. RNAcentral's name for it is "tRNA-Val". It matches the Rfam family "tRNA". Rfam says of the family: Transfer RNA (tRNA) molecules are approximately 80 nucleotides in length. Their secondary structure includes four short double-helical elements and three loops (D, anti-codon, and T loops). The record is from RNAcentral. Lineage: Bacteria; Bacillati; Actinomycetota; Actinomycetes; Mycobacteriales; Mycobacteriaceae.
GGUCCCGUGGCUCAGUGGAAGAGCGCCCGCCUCACACGCGGGAGGUCGCUGGUUCGAACCCAGCCGGGACCACC